RNAcentral lists this ribosomal RNA (253 nucleotides) under uncultured bacterium. RNAcentral's name for it is "partial 16S ribosomal RNA". It matches the Rfam family "Bacterial small subunit ribosomal RNA", at positions 524 to 776 of the family's 1533-position model. The record is from RNAcentral.
UACAUAGGGUGCAAGCGUUAAUCGGAAUUACUGGGCGUAAAGCGUGCGUAGACGGUUAUUUAAGUCAGGUGUGAAAGCCCCGGGCUCAACCUGGGAAUUGCAUUUGAGACUGAAUAGCUAGGGUGCGGAAGAGGGAAGCGGAAUUUCCGGUGUAGCGGUGAAAUGCGUAGAUAUCGGAAGGAACACCAGUGGCGAAAGCGGCUUCCUGGUCCAGCACCGACGUUCAGGCACGAAAGCGUGGGGAGCAAACAGG